This 557-nucleotide unclassified non-coding RNA is filed under the name Hevea brasiliensis (rubber tree). Lineage: Eukaryota; Viridiplantae; Streptophyta; Magnoliopsida; Malpighiales; Euphorbiaceae. The record is from RNAcentral.
UUUGAUAUUUUCUUCUAAAUUAAACCACACAAUUAAAGAUAUGAGCAAGUCACAUUCCUAACAUUAGAAGGCAUAAAAGCUAAGAUCAUAAGAACAACAAGAAUGAAAAUUGGGACUAACAACAACAUAAAAGGUGGUGGUGGCAAUGGUGGAAGCAUCAAUGGCAAAAGUAACAAAGAUGCUGUAAGACCAAGUAACAAAAUAAUUGACUCUAAGCUAAAAUAAUUCAUUGACAACAUUUUCUUGCCAUGUCCUUGUGUAAAUGAUCUCUUAUGCUCCAUCUUAUUGCCUUCCAUAAUGUUGUUGAAAUAUUGUUGAUGUUCCUCCAAAUUAAUAAACCCUUUUGAUGAUCUCAAUUUUGCCUCUGAUGAUUCCAUGUCCAUGUUCAUUACUAGUCGUACGCUCUUACUCAGAAGUCUCGAGUUUUAAUUUGGAACCAAUCUUGAAACUUAGAGAAGGAUAUGAGUUUUUCAACCAAUCUUGAAAUUUCCUAAGAAUCUUGAUGUGAGGUUUUGAAUUCGAGACCUGAAUAUGAAGUCGUUCUGAGGAAUAUUGAG